AGAAGUUUAGGCUAUACCUAGACCAGGGGCCUUCAAAGCCCCAAGAGGGUGCAAUCAACCCAACUUCUG
RNAcentral lists this transfer RNA (69 nucleotides) under Macrauchenia sp. MW-2017. RNAcentral describes it as "tRNA-Trp". The record is from RNAcentral. Lineage: Eukaryota; Metazoa; Chordata; Mammalia; Litopterna; Macraucheniidae.